RNAcentral lists this long non-coding RNA (3399 nucleotides) under Trifolium pratense (red clover). RNAcentral's name for it is "long non-coding RNA (TPRA_LNC005417)". Lineage: Eukaryota; Viridiplantae; Streptophyta; Magnoliopsida; Fabales; Fabaceae. The record is from RNAcentral.
AUAAAACCUGAGAUGAUCCAUUUUCAAACUGGUAGUGGCCAAAAAGAUCCAAAAUGUUAUUGUCAUGAGAAGAAGUAGUGAAAAUUGUUUGAGAAUUCUUUUGCUCCAUGCUUUCAGAGACAAGAAUGAAUGAAUGAAUGAAUGAGCUUAUUGCUUUUUCAACACCUGUGAAAAGAUAAAUGAAUUUGGUUAGUUGACUUGACUAUAAGCUUGUGGAAUUUUCUUGGAAAGUAUAUGAAAUACAUAUUCUUUCACUUUUCUUAUAUAGGCAAAUAUAAAAAUGCAAUUUAACAUUACAAAUAACAAUAAAAAAUAUCAGAGACAAAAACAUCCAAUCUAAUUUUAUUUUGCGUUUGAUCUGCUAAAAAACAGGAGACUGGACAGGACAAUUUUUGUUUCCACAAAAACUGCUUAAGGGACUGAACAAAAUAGGCAUCAAGGGACAGGACAAAAACAAGAAUUUGUGUCCACCACUGAACCACAUGACAACUUUUUGUCCACACAGUACCGCUAUAAAAAAUACGAAAAUACCUAUUUCAUUUUCGAAUAUAAAAAAAAUAUUAUCGUUCUAUCUCUCUUCAGUAUAAUUUUGUCCGGUCCCGUACUAUCUUGUUAUGUCCAGUAUUUGCUGUUUUGCGAAUCAAACACACCCUAAGUAUCAAGACUACUCUAACUUAACUAAAAAAUUUAAUAGAAUAAAAAUAAAAUUGUCUAUAUUUAAGAAACUAAUAAUGUAUAAUUAUAGAAUCAAUAUAAUGUACACGAAAUAUAGACGGAUUCAUUUUUAUUCUAUUAGUUUUGAAUGCAAUACUCAACAACAAGGCCCGUUAAGGUUGGUGAGGAGCAUUGUUUUGAGGGAGGGAAAUCGUGGUUGAUAAACCACUUCGAGGAAGCGACUUAUGCCUUGUCUAUCUAAUUGUAAGGCUAUACCUUAGAAAGGUUGCUAUAGGGUCUAAGUAGUGGUACUUCUCGUUUAGUUGUUAAAAGAUAGAUAGAACCUUUUAAAAUGAGAUUGAGUUUCACGAAUAUGCAAGCUAGAAAGAUGUUAAAAUCCAUAGAAAUUAUUUGUUGCUCGAGAAAUUAUUUAUACAUUCGCGGACCGACUAAUUCGAAGGGACCAAUUUCACCGCUCCACUUGUGGCGCCCCAUUUAAGUCCGAGUUUAUGGACUGACCCACCAAAAUUUUCACCAAAAAAUCGAACAUGAGAUCUUGAGAGAAAUAUACUCCAAGAUCCUAAGCUAAUAACACCACUGAGCUAUGUUAAUUUUACUUGCUUAUAAGAGGUAAGAGAGAAGUGAACAAUUGUUUCAUUUUUCUCAACAAUGAGAAUGUGAAAAUAAUUAUUUUGAUUUUCUCCGAGAAUCAUCAUCCUUAAUUUGUUUUCAUCUUCUGUCAAUAUCACAAUGAUUCAGUCUAAGAGUCUUUCAUCAAUUUGAAAUAAACAAACGUUUUAGAAACAGGAAACAAAAUAUAUUUUCACAAAAUAAACACCGCUUUAGUCUUUAUAGUUAUGUGCGGAGAUAUCCAGUUAACCCUAGUAGUCUUUAUAGAUAGGCGCGGAGAUAUCCAAUUAACCCAAAGAGAAAUGUGAAACACAACUCAUACCUAAUUCAGCAAAAACAAAAUCGAGUAAACUGUCAUUUUAGUCCUCAGAAGUGUCACUCGCUGUCAUAAAAGUCUCUGAAUCAUCAAAAAAUAUUUUAAAGUCCCUGGAUUUAAUAUCCGUUAGUAAAAAUGGUCUCUGACGUUAUCUUUCUGUUUGUUUUAUAUGAUGUGUACCAAAAUUUGACAUGUUGAACCGUGGCAAUUUUUUAUUCUAAUUUUACAGCAACCUAAGCAAGGAUCAAAUUGAAAGUGAGCAUAAAAAAAUUGUAAAUAAAAAAAUACAACAAAAUAGUAAAAAAAACAAUAGAAAAAUUCAUCCAAAAUUCAUAAUAAACUCAUCUUCAACCAAUUAUCCCUUCCGAGANNNNNNNNNNNNNNNNNNNNNNNNNNNNNNNNNNNNNNNNNNNNNNNNNAAACCAUAACAAAAAAAAUCAAAUUUCUCCAUAUUUCACCCCCUCUUCUAUUAGAACAAAACUAAAUGAAUAAUCAUAUUUUCCAAAAUCAACAAAAGAAGUUCAAAAGAUAAAGAGAGCAGAAAGUUCAAAAAAAACUAGAUCUGAGAUUUAUUUGUUUACUUUAAACUUGUUAUUGUGAUAAUUAGAGAUGAGAAAUGAUUGACUAAAACAUGGAAGAAAACUCAUUCUUUACAAGCUUUGUCUAACUUCUCUAGCUCAAUUGCAUCUUCACAAAAUAAUUUACCAAGGUCGAUAAUUGGUAAAGAGGUUGUUGUUGAUACAAGAACAAGGUCUUGAUUUAGUGGAAGAUAUGUGGAACUUUUCUUUGCCAAUUUUUACCAAUUAUCGACCUAUUUGUUCACAACCUUCAUGGGUCAAUUUCCAUCAUCACUCUCUCUUAUUUGUUUACUUUAAACUUGUUGUUAUUGUGAUAAUUUUGGGGGUAUUUAUUUGUGUCAAUUUACUUUAUAAAUUAGUAGAUUAAUGUUUCUCAUAUUUAAAUGAAUGUUCUUUUUUCAAGUUUGAAGAUAGAGGUAGGAAUUGGUAUGAAUUUCUAUUAUUUAAUCCAAAAUAUUUUUGAAGAAAAUGGAAGGUGGGUUUGACAUAUUGAUGCUUGAUGGAGGUUUGUGAGGAAGAGAGGUGAAAGAAGAUGAAGAUUUGUUUUUGUUCAUUUUUAUUGUAUUUGUUUUUAUUUAGGAAAUUUUAAUUUUUAAUGUCAUUUUAAUUCUUGUAUAGGUGUCAUUGAAAAUUGUCACAUAUUGGUUCAAUGUGUCUAAAUUUGGGGAAUGAUCAUAAAAACAAACAGAAAGAUAACGUCAGAGAUCAUUCUGGCUAACGGAAGUUUAAUUCAGGGACUUUUAAAUGUUUUUUGUUGUUUCAGGGACUGUUAUGACAGCGAGUGACACUUUCAGGAACGAAAGUGACUGUUUAUUCAAACAAAAUCGCUAUGUAAAUAAUGGUACGAUAAACCUAUCCUAGUAACACAAGAGAAGAAAAAAGAAAACACUAACCGAUUACGAAAUAUGGAAACCGAACAAUAAAAGCAGCAACUAAUGCGACCGCGCUACGGUUCUCUCUUUUCUUGUUUUCCUUUUCGCGCACGUUACUUCUUUCUACGCAGCUCUCUUGUUUUGUUUUCGUUUAUAUAAUAACUUGGUGUGGGCCCAUUUGGGGAGUGACCAAUCCAAUAAAAAUGAAGUGGAUCAUGGAAGUUUCAAAGAAACUAAGUUUUGAUGAAUUAUCUUUCAAGAAACUACUUUUUGAUGAAUUAUCUACCAAGAAACUUUUUUUUUAAUUGCAUAAUUUAGUGGAUAUAUAUUAAUAUGAGAACAUCUCGUU